AUUGAACGCUGGCGGCAUGCUUUACACAUGCAAGUCGGACGGCAGCACAGAGAAGCUUGCUUCUUGGGUGGCGAGUGGCGCACGGGUGAGUAACAUAUCGGAACGUACCGAGCAGUGGGGGAUAACUAAUCGAAAGAUUAGCUAAUACCGCAUAUCUUCUGAGGAAGAAAGCAGGGGACCAUUUGGCCUUGCGCUGUUUGAGCGGCCGAUAUCUGAUUAGCUAGUUGGUGGGGUAAAGGCCUACCAAGCCGACGAUCAGUAGCGGGUCUGAGAGGAUGAUCCGCCACACUGGGACUGAGACACGGCCCAGACACCUACGGGAGGCAGCAGUGGGGAAUUUUGGACGAUGGGCGCAAGCCUGAUCCAGCCAUGCCGCGUGUCUGAAGAAGGCCUUCGGGUUGUAAAGGACUUUUGUCAGGGAAGAAAAGGGCGGGGUUAAUACCCCUGUCUGAUGACGGUACCUGAAGAAUAAGCACCGGCUAACUACGUG
This 490-nucleotide ribosomal RNA is filed under the name uncultured bacterium. Its description in RNAcentral is "partial 16S ribosomal RNA". It matches the Rfam family "Bacterial small subunit ribosomal RNA", at positions 30 to 507 of the family's 1533-position model. The record is from RNAcentral.